CCAGACUCCUACGGGAGGCAGCAGUGCGGAAUAUUGGUCACUGGACGCAAGUCUUCCCCAGCCAAUUCGCUUGCAGGAUGACGGCACUCCGGGUUUUCCCCUGCUUUUAGUUUUGAAUAAAAGGGGGCUCGUGAGCCCCUUCUUGUAUGUCCCCUCAGAAAAAUUCCCUUCUAAUUCCUUGCCCGCAGCCGCUUUCCUACGGAAGUUCCUUUCGUUAUCCGUAGUUAUUGGGUUUAAAGGGAGCGUAGGCCGGCGGUUAAGUCAGCGGUGAAAGUCCGCGGCGCAACCGUUGAAUUGCAGUUGAAACUGGAGGCCUUGAGUGCACACAGGGAGGCCGGAAUUCAGGGUGUAGCGGUGAAAUGCUUAGAGAGAAGGAAGAACUCCGAUCGCGAAGGCAAGUGUCCGGGGUGCAACUGACGCUGAGGCUCGAAAGUGCGGGUAGCACACAGGAUUAGAUACCCUAGUAG
This 467-nucleotide ribosomal RNA is filed under the name uncultured bacterium. RNAcentral's name for it is "bacterial SSU rRNA". It matches the Rfam family "Bacterial small subunit ribosomal RNA", at positions 331 to 793 of the family's 1533-position model. The record is from RNAcentral.